RNAcentral lists this ribosomal RNA (468 nucleotides) under uncultured bacterium. RNAcentral's name for it is "partial 16S ribosomal RNA". It matches the Rfam family "Bacterial small subunit ribosomal RNA", at positions 28 to 507 of the family's 1533-position model. The record is from RNAcentral.
GACGAACGCUGGCGGCGUGCUUAACACAUGCAAGUCGAACGGAAAGGCCCUGCUUUUGUGGGGUGCUCGAUUGGCGAACGGGUGAGUAACACGUGAGUAACCUGCCCUUGACUUUGUGAUAACUUCAGGAAACUGGGGCUAAUACCGGAUAGGAACUCCUGCUGCAUGGUGGUGGUUGGAAAGUUUCGGCGGUUGUGUAUGGACUCGCGGCUUAUCAGCUUGUUGGUGGGGUAGUGGCUUACCAAGGCUUGGACGGGUAGCCGGCCUGAGAGGGUGACCGGCCACAUUGGGACUGAGAUAAGGCCCAGACUGGUAAGGGAGGGAGAAGUGGGGAAUAUUGAAAAAUGGGCGGAAGCCUGAUGAAGAAACGCCGCGUGCGGGAUGACGGCCUUAGGGGUGUAAACCGAUUGCGCAUGUGACGAAGCGUGAGUGAAGGUAAUGGGUAAAGAAGCACCGGCUAAAUAAGUG